GACGAACGCUGGCGGCGUGCCUAAUACAUGCAAGUAGAACGCUGAAGAGAGGAGCUUGCUCUUCUUGGAUGAGUUGCGAACGGGUGAGUAACGCGUAGGUAACCUGCCUUGUAGCGGGGGAUAACUAUUGGAAACGAUAGCUAAUACCGCAUAACAAUGGAUGACACAUGUCAUUUAUUUGAAAGGGGCAAUUGCUCCACUACAAGAUGGACCUGCGUUGUAUUAGCUAGUAGGUGAGGUAACGGCUCACCUAGGCGACGAUACAUAGCCGACCUGAGAGGGUGAUCGGCCACACUGGGACUGAGACACGGCCCAGACUCCUACGGGAGGCAGCAGUAGGGAAUCUUCGGCAAUGGGGGCAACCCUGACCGAGCAACGCCGCGUGAGUGAAGAAGGUUUUCGGAUCGUAAAGCUCUGUUGUAAGUCAAGAACGAGUGUGAGAGUGGAAAGUUCACACUGUGACGGUAGCUUACCAGAAAGGGACGGCUAACUACGUGCCAGCAGCCGCGGUAAUACGUAGGUCCCGAGCGUUGUCCGGAUUUAUUGGGCGUAAAGCGAGCGCAGGCGGUUUGAUAAGUCUGAAGUUAAAGGCUGUGGCUCAACCAUAGUUCGCUUUGGAAACUGUCAAACUUGAGUGCAGAAGGGGAGAGUGGAAUUCCAUGUGUAGCGGUGAAAUGCGUAGAUAUAUGGAGGAACACCGGUGGCGAAAGCGGCUCUCUGGUCUGUAACUGACGCUGAGGCUCGAAAGCGUGGGGAGCGAACAGGAUUAGAUACCCUGGUAGUCCACGCCGUAAACGAUGAGUGCUAGGUGUUGGAUCCUUUCCGGGAUUCAGUGCCGCAGCUAACGCAUUAAGCACUCCGCCUGGGGAGUACGACCGCAAGGUUGAAACUCAAAGGAAUUGACGGGGGCCCGCACAAGCGGUGGAGCAUGUGGUUUAAUUCGAAGCAACGCGAAGAACCUUACCAGGUCUUGACAUCCCGAUGCUAUUUCUAGAGAUAGAAAGUUACUUCGGUACAUCGGUGACAGGUGGUGCAUGGUUGUCGUCAGCUCGUGUCGUGAGAUGUUGGGUUAAGUCCCGCAACGAGCGCAACCCCUAUUGUUAGUUGCCAUCAUUCAGUUGGGCACUCUAGCGAGACUGCCGGUAAUAAACCGGAGGAAGGUGGGGAUGACGUCAAAUCAUCAUGCCCCUUAUGACCUGGGCUACACACGUGCUACAAUGGUUGGUACAACGAGUUGCGAGUCGGUGACGGCACGCUAAUCUCUUAAAGCCAAUCUCAGUUCGGAUUGUAGGCUGCAACUCGCCUACAUGAAGUCGGAAUCGCUAGUAAUCGCGGAUCAGCACGCCGCGGUGAGUACGUUCCCGGGCCU
This 1369-nucleotide ribosomal RNA is filed under the name uncultured bacterium. RNAcentral's name for it is "bacterial SSU rRNA". It matches the Rfam family "Bacterial small subunit ribosomal RNA", at positions 28 to 1381 of the family's 1533-position model. The record is from RNAcentral.